GAUGAACGCUGACAGAAUGCUUAACACAUGCAAGUCUUUGGCGAAGCUGUGCUUGCACAGCCUAGCCAAGGCGGACGGGUGAGUAACGCGUAAGGAACUUGCCCUGCAGUCAGGGAUAACAGACGGAAACGACUGAUAAGACCUGGUAAAGUCAGGCGGACUCAUGUCCAGCCUGAUGAAAAGAGAUGCUGCAGGAGAGCCUUGCGUCCUACUAGCUUGUUGGUGGGGUAACGGCCCACCAAGGCGAUGAUAGGUAGCCGGCCUGAGAGGGUGGACGGCCAAAAGGGGACUGAGAGACGGCCCUUACUCCCACGGGAGGAGGGAGGGGGAAAAAUGGGACAAGGGGGGCAACCCGGAUAAAGCAAUCGGGUGGGAAAAAUAAAGGUUUUGGGAUUGAAAAGGGUUUUCAGCAGGGAAAAAAAAAAGGACGGUACCUGAAAAAGAGGCAACGGCAAAAAACGG
RNAcentral lists this ribosomal RNA (462 nucleotides) under uncultured bacterium. Its description in RNAcentral is "partial 16S ribosomal RNA". It matches the Rfam family "Bacterial small subunit ribosomal RNA", at positions 28 to 506 of the family's 1533-position model. The record is from RNAcentral.